Molecule: long non-coding RNA, 449 nt
Filed under: Setaria viridis
Lineage: Eukaryota; Viridiplantae; Streptophyta; Magnoliopsida; Poales; Poaceae
Description: long non-coding RNA (SVIR_LNC002739)
Source: RNAcentral
GAGAAGUAAAAUUCCAGUCGCAUCGCAUUCCCAGUCAACCGCAUUGGCCAUGGGUUCGUUAGUUUCCUUUCGAAGUUCUAGUUGCCCUCUUCUUCCCCCAUCAUUCCUUCUUGCAGCUCAAUGUUGGUUCCGAGUGAGCAUCUUAUAAAAAUCGGCUGGCAUUCAAGCAUGUUGGUGCGCAUAAAGUGAGUUAAUUUUCACCAAUAAUCAGUGUUGUGUGUACCAAACUACUACUUGUUUGCAACCGCAAUUUCUUAUGUGUGGUCGUAGCUAGACUCGUAGUAGGUUACAGGUAAAAUUCCUCAACUAUUUUAUGAUCUAGCUAGGUGCUAUUGGCGAGAGAAGGCAUGAACUUCAUAGGUCUAGCUGCUAUGGUUAGUGCUUCCCAACCACCGAUUAGCCAAUGUCUUACGCACAGCAUUACUACAGCACCAACAUUGAUCAUAUAU